Molecule: ribosomal RNA, 495 nt
Filed under: uncultured bacterium
Lineage: Bacteria
Description: partial 16S ribosomal RNA
Rfam family: Bacterial small subunit ribosomal RNA
Source: RNAcentral
GAUGAACGCUGGCGGCGUGCCUAAUACAUGCAAGUAGAACGCUGAAGGAGGAGCUUGCUCUUCUGGAUGAGUUGCGAACGGGUGAGUAACGCGUAGGUAACCUGCCUGGUAGCGGGGGAUAACUAUUGGAAACGAUAGCUAAUACCGCAUGACAACAGUUAUUGCAUGAUAACUGUUUAAAAGGGGCAACUGCUCCACUACCAGAUGGACCUGCGUUGUAUUAGCUAGUUGGUGAGGUAACGGCUCACCAAGGCGACGAUACAUAGCCGACCUGAGAGGGUGAUCGGCCACACUGGGACUGAGACACGGCCCAGACUCCUACGGGAGGCAGCAGUAGGGAAUCUUCGGCAAUGGACGGAAGUCUGACCGAGCAACGCCGCGUGAGUGAAGAAGGUUUUCGGAUCGUAAAGCUCUGUUGUAAGAGAAGAACGAGUGUGAGGGUGGAAAGUUCACACUGUGACGGUAUCUUACCAGAAAGGGACGGCUAACUACGUG